UUUUUUUAACCGACUUCCAAAAAAGGAGGAGGUUCUCAAUUCGACUGUAUUUUUUUUAACCGACUUCCAAAAAAGGAGGAGGUUCUCAAUUCGACUGUAUUUUUUUUUUUUUUUUAUGUAUGUUACAUCAGAACUUUUGACUGCGUAGACCGAUUUCGACAAAUUUUGUUUUAAUCGAAAGGUGGUGUGUGCCAAUUGGUCCCAUUUAAAUUUAUUUGAGAUCUAACAACUACUUUUCGAGCU
Molecule: unclassified non-coding RNA, 243 nt
Filed under: Melitaea cinxia (Glanville fritillary)
Lineage: Eukaryota; Metazoa; Arthropoda; Insecta; Lepidoptera; Nymphalidae
Description: misc RNA ENSMCXG00005012243.1
Source: RNAcentral